UAAUACAACCUGGACGGUGCGACUGAUG
RNAcentral lists this small RNA (28 nucleotides) under Bombyx mori (domestic silkworm). Its description in RNAcentral is "ovarian small RNA-19525". Lineage: Eukaryota; Metazoa; Arthropoda; Insecta; Lepidoptera; Bombycidae. The record is from RNAcentral.